Molecule: transfer RNA, 75 nt
Filed under: Metallosphaera sedula
Lineage: Archaea; Thermoproteati; Thermoproteota; Thermoprotei; Sulfolobales; Sulfolobaceae
Also listed under: 3 other names
Description: tRNA-Arg (CCG) (tRNA-Arg-CCG-1-1)
Rfam family: tRNA
About the family: Transfer RNA (tRNA) molecules are approximately 80 nucleotides in length.
Source: RNAcentral
GGACCCGUAGCUCAGCCAGGAUAGAGCGUAGGCCUCCGGAGCCUAAGGUCCCGGGUCCGAAUCCCGGCGGGUCCG